This 1093-nucleotide small RNA is filed under the name uncultured bacterium. RNAcentral describes it as "bacterial SSU rRNA". The stretch from base 1 to 564 matches the Rfam family "Bacterial small subunit ribosomal RNA", at positions 972 to 1533 of the family's 1533-position model. The record is from RNAcentral.
UACCUGGGCUUGAAAGGCAAGAUUCUAGACGAUGAAAGUCGUUUACCCGCAAGGKGUCUUGUACAGGUGCUSCAUGGCUKUCGUCAGCUCGUSCCGUGAGGUGUUAGGUUAAGUCCUGCAACGAGCGCAACCCCUACACUUAGUUGCCAUCAGGUAAUGCUGGGCACUYUAAGKGGACUGCCUACGCAAGUARCGAGGAAGGUGGGGAUGACGUCMAGUCCUCAUGGCCCUUACGCCCAGGGCCACACACGUGCUACAAUGGCCACUACAAAGGGUUGCCMAGGCGCAAGCCGGAGCUAAUCCCAAAAAAGUGGUYUCAGUUCAGAUUGUGGGCUGCAACUCGCCCACAUGAAGCUGGAAUUGCUAGUAAUCGCGGAUCAGCACGCCGCGGUGAAUACGUUCCCGGGCCUUGUACACACCGCCCGUCAAGCCAUGGAAGCUGAGGGUACCCGAAGCCGCUGUGCUAACCGCAAGGAAGCAGGCGUCUAAGGUAAUAAGUCAGUGACUGGGGCUAAGUCGUAACAAGGUAGCCGUAUCGGAAGGUGCGGCUGGAUCACCUCCUUUCUAAGGAGUUAUGAUACGCGAGUAUCAUAUAUUCAACUUUUGAAACGACUAGCUUGACUGUUCCGUACACACAAAUUUUUGAAGUUCAUGAUGUUUACCGGGCCUAUAGCUCAGUUGGUUAGAGCGCACGCCUGAUAAGCGUGAGGUCAGUAGUUCAAAUCUACUUAGGCCCACGUAUAUUAAUCAGAAUACUUUAGCUGACAGGGUUAUGGGGCUAUAGCUCAAUUGGGAGAGCGCCUGCCUUGCACGCAGGAGGUUAACGGUUCGAUCCCGUUUAGCUCCACUUGUUUUUUUGUUCUUUGACAAAUUGAAAAGAAGCUGUUGAAACAAGACUGAGUAAUUCGUUUCGGCGAAUAAAACGUCUUUGAGUAAACGCUUUGCAUAUGUGGUCUUAACAAGUUUAUUGAUGCACCAAGGUAUAUGUGUACUCAAUAAAGAUUUUUGGUUAAGUUACUAAGAGCGUGCGGUGGAUGCCUUGGCACGAGAAGGCGAUGAAGGACGCGGUUACCUGCGAUAAGCGUCGGUGAGG